AUUGAACGCUGGCGGCAUGCCUUACACAUGCAAGUCGAACGGUAACAGGUCUUCGGAUGCUGACGAGUGGCGAACGGGUGAGUAAUACAUCGGAACGUGCCCGAUCGUGGGGGAUAACGGAGCGAAAGCUUUGCUAAUACCGCAUACGAUCUACGGAUGAAAGCAGGGGACCGCAAGGCCUUGCGCGGACGGAGCGGCGCAUGGCAGAUUAGGUAGUUGGUGGGAUAAAAGCUUACCAAGCCGACGAUCUGUAGCUGGUCUGAGAGGGCGACCAGCCACACUGGGACUGAGACACGGCCCAGACUCCUACGGGAGGCAGCAGUGGGGAAUUUUGGACAAUGGGCGAAAGCCUGAUCCAGCCAUGCCGCGUGCAGGAUGAAGGCCUUCGGGUUGUAAACUGCUUUUGUACGGAACGAAAAGACUCUUUCUAAUAAAGAGGGUCCAUGACGGUACCGUAAGAAUAAGCACCGGCUAACUACGUGCCAGCAGCCGCCGUAA
This 498-nucleotide ribosomal RNA is filed under the name uncultured bacterium. Its description in RNAcentral is "partial 16S ribosomal RNA". It matches the Rfam family "Bacterial small subunit ribosomal RNA", at positions 30 to 523 of the family's 1533-position model. The record is from RNAcentral.